Molecule: ribosomal RNA, 1434 nt
Filed under: uncultured organism
Description: 16S ribosomal RNA
Rfam family: Bacterial small subunit ribosomal RNA
Source: RNAcentral
CAGGCUUAACACAUGCAAGUCGAGGGGCAGCAUGGUCUUAGCUUGCUAAGGCCGAUGGCGACCGGCGCACGGGUGAGUAACACGUAUCCAACCUGCCGUCUACUCUUGGACAGCCUUCUGAAAGGAAGAUUAAUACAAGAUGGCAUCAUGAGUCCGCAUGUUCACAUGAUUAAAGGUAUUCCGGUAGACGAUGGGGAUGCGUUCCAUUAGAUAGUAGGCGGGGUAACGGCCCACCUAGUCUUCGAUGGAUAGGGGUUCUGAGAGGAAGGUCCCCCACAUUGGAACUGAGACACGGUCCAAACUCCUACGGGAGGCAGCAGUGAGGAAUAUUGGUCAAUGGGCGAGAGCCUGAACCAGCCAAGUAGCGUGAAGGAUGACUGCCCUAUGGGUUGUAAACUUCUUUUAUAAAGGAAUAAAGUCGGGUAUGGAUACCCGUUUGCAUGUACUUUAUGAAUAGGGAUCGGCUAACUCCGUGCCAGCAGCCGCGGUAAUACGGAGGAUCCGAGCGUUAUCCGGAUUUAUUGGGUUUAAAGGGAGCGUAGAUGGAUGUUUAAGUCAGUUGUGAAAGUUUGCGGCUCAACCGUAAAAUUGCAGUUGAUACUGGACAUCUUGAGUGCAGUUGAGGCAGGCGGAAUUCGUGGUGUAGCGGUGAAAUGCUUAGAUAUCACGAAGAACUCCGAUUGCGAAGGCAGCCUGCUAAGCUGCAACUGACAUUGAGGCUCGAAAGUGUGGGUAUCAAACAGGAUUAGAUACCCUGGUAGUCCACACGGUAAACGAUGAAUACUCGCUGUUUGCGAUAUACGGCAAGCGGCCAAGCGAAAGCGUUAAGUAUUCCACCUGGGGAGUACGCCGGCAACGGUGAAACUCAAAGGAAUUGACGGGGGCCCGCACAAGCGGAGGAACAUGUGGUUUAAUUCGAUGAUACGCGAGGAACCUUACCCGGGCUUAAAUUGCAGAUGAAUUACGGUGAAAGCCGUAAGCCGCAAGGCAUCUGUGAAGGUGCUGCAUGGUUGUCGUCAGCUCGUGCCGUGAGGUGUCGGCUUAAGUGCCAUAACGAGCGCAACCCUUGUUGUCAGUUACUAACAGGUUCCGCUGAGGACUCUGACAAGACUGCCAUCGUAAGAUGUGAGGAAGGUGGGGAUGACGUCAAAUCAGCACGGCCCUUACGUCCGGGGCUACACACGUGUUACAAUGGGGGGUACAGAGGGCCGCUACCACGCGAGUGGAUGCCAAUCCCAAAAACCUCUCUCAGUUCGGACUGGAGUCUGCAACCCGACUCCACGAAGCUGGAUUCGCUAGUAAUCGCGCAUCAGCCACGGCGCGGUGAAUACGUUCCCGGGCCUUGUACACACCGCCCGUCAAGCCAUGGGAGCCGGGGGUACCUGAAGUGCGUAACCGCGAGGAGCGCCCUAGGGUAAAACUGGUGACUGGGGC